AAAAAAAAAAAAGCAGACAUUCCUGCAAUGGGCAGUGGCUGCCUGGCUGAGCACUGCUUUACUCUGUAUCUGACCCAGAUGGAUUAUCUGAGGGUCCCAGUAGAAAUAAAGUCACUGUUGGAGGUAACUUGGGAGCAGAAGCAGAACUAAUAGUGGGUUUAAGAUUUGGGCCUAGGCUGACUAGAAGUUCUAAAUCCUGUACAGUGGUACCCUCCCCUGUUUUGGGGGUGAAGAGUGCAGAUGAAAGUCAUUCUGGAGAUCAGCCUCAAUCCUGAAGCUGCCUAGGUACCCGGAGUCACAUCACUACUCUAGCACACUGUUUUCACUCAGGAAACAUGCAAAAAGACAAAGUAUACACAUUUCACCUGGCAUAUCUGUCCAUUGACUUUUGCUUUCACUAAUAAAACAUGAGUUGUUAGGAGGCAGGGUAAUUCUCUUUUUUUCUCUUUGCAGUCUGUACAGCAGAACCCAAAAUCAGGAUGAAAACAGCUCAAAGCAGCUCCUAGCUGACUGACAGGGGAAUAUGGAACAGUGUGAAGCCAGAGUCCAUAGAUUCAUAUCUGAAAGGAACCAGCAGGGGAAGAUAGGAGGCUUGCACUCACCUGGGCUUCAUUCAACUAGAGGAGCAUGCUCAAAACAUUCCAAGUUAAAGCCAGGCCUUUGAUCGAAACACUGAGAAGGGAGAGGCAGAGGAUCUCUGUGAGCAGGAGACCAGCCUGGUCUACAUAUCAAGUUCCAGGACAUUCAAGACUACAUAGAGAGACCCUGUCUCAAAGAAACAGCAAAAACAACAAAGAUCCGAGUUAAAUUUGGGAGAGGGGAUACCACAUAAGUGGUUUACAAAAGAGGAGUGCACUCCCACAUUUUCUGAAGAGAUGCACAACUACUACAAUGACUGUCCUGAAGGCCUUAUCACAGCAUCAUCGCCUGGAGGCAUCAUCACCUUUCUGGUUGGACUCCCAGAGGGAGGACUGCUCUAUUACAUAGUUAGGCCCUUGACACCCAACCUGUGAUUGCACAAUGGACUCUGGGUUGUUAGCAUUUGUUCUGUACUAAUGCCAUUAUAG
RNAcentral lists this long non-coding RNA (1067 nucleotides) under Cricetulus griseus (Chinese hamster). Its description in RNAcentral is "lncRNA (ENSCGRG00015039020.1)". Lineage: Eukaryota; Metazoa; Chordata; Mammalia; Rodentia; Cricetidae. The record is from RNAcentral.